This 137-nucleotide non-coding RNA is filed under the name Vaucheria litorea. The record is from RNAcentral. Lineage: Eukaryota; Xanthophyceae; Vaucheriales; Vaucheriaceae.
UGAAUAAAUCCAAGCUGAAAAUCAAAAGGAAAAAGGUUUCCAAGCCCGAAAAGAAGAAGGAAUAAGUCGCUCUGUUUAAUGAUUCUUAUUCGUCCUUUGACUCGGUUUUUGGAUUCUAUGAUCUAUCUUUUUAAUAU